This 479-nucleotide small RNA is filed under the name Drosophila virilis. RNAcentral describes it as "GJ26456". Lineage: Eukaryota; Metazoa; Arthropoda; Insecta; Diptera; Drosophilidae. The record is from RNAcentral.
GACAGUUAUUGUUGGCGCUUCAGCCAUGUGCUCGUACAUAAAUAAUUUCGAUCUUUAAAUUUAAUGCCCAAGCCAAUGUUUUGUGAAAACGGAAUUAAUAUUCGCUUAGUGUUAUCCAGAAUUAUUUUGAAGAAAAGUCGAAGCAGUUGGAACAUGAAACAACGUCAAAAGGAAAAUGAACUUGUGCCAUAGAGACAAAUCUGUUUUUAUAUAGCUUGGAAAAGUUCUGUCCUCAGACUUUUAAUGGAAAUUGAGAGAUGUCAAGCGUGAGCGGAAGAAAGGAGAGAAGAAGCAAGAGGAUUCACAAAUUAAGGACCACAAUUAAUUUCAAGGACCUCCACGAGUAACAACGCAAUUUUUUCCAGGAUCGGACUUUAAUUAGGAUAGAUAUAGCUAUUUUAAGUUCAAAUAAGCCAAAUUUAUAAUUUAUGCACGUUUUGUAUAAUUUUAAGAGAAUUAAUUAAGAGAAUUAGUAUGGA